RNAcentral lists this transfer RNA (73 nucleotides) under Microcaldota archaeon. RNAcentral describes it as "tRNA-Asn". It matches the Rfam family "tRNA". From Rfam's summary of the family: Transfer RNA (tRNA) molecules are approximately 80 nucleotides in length. Their secondary structure includes four short double-helical elements and three loops (D, anti-codon, and T loops). Further hydrogen bonds mediate the characteristic L-shaped molecular structure. tRNAs have two regions of fundamental functional importance: the anti-codon, which is responsible for specific mRNA codon recognition, and the 3' end, to which the tRNAs corresponding amino acid is attached (by aminoacyl-tRNA synthetases). tRNAs cope with the degeneracy of the genetic code in two manners: having more than one tRNA (with a specific anti-codon) for a particular amino acid; and 'wobble' base-pairing, i.e. permitting non-standard base-pairing at the 3rd anti-codon position. The record is from RNAcentral. Lineage: Archaea; Nanobdellati; Microcaldota.
GGCCAGGUAGCACAGCAGGUAGUGUGCCCGACUGUUAAUCGGGAGGUCGUAGGUUCGAGUCCUACCCUGGCCG